Molecule: ribosomal RNA, 253 nt
Filed under: uncultured bacterium
Lineage: Bacteria
Description: partial 16S ribosomal RNA
Rfam family: Bacterial small subunit ribosomal RNA
Source: RNAcentral
UACAGAGGGUGCGAGCGUUAAUCGGAAUUACUGGGCGUAAAGCGUGCGUAGACGGUUAUGUAAGUCUGCUCUGAAAGCCCGGGGCUCAACCCCGGGAGGCGGGUGGAUACUGUCAAGCUCGAGUCCGGAAGAGGAGUGUGGAAUUCCUGGUGUAGCGGUGAAAUGCGCAGAUAUCAGGAGGAACACCAAUGGCGAAGGCAGCACUCUGGGACGUGACUGACGCUGAGACGCGAAAGCGUGGGGAGCAAACAGG